RNAcentral lists this unclassified non-coding RNA (253 nucleotides) under uncultured Parcubacteria group bacterium. RNAcentral describes it as "contains 16S-23S intergenic spacer region". It matches the Rfam family "Bacterial small subunit ribosomal RNA", at positions 524 to 776 of the family's 1533-position model. The record is from RNAcentral.
UACGAAGGCCCCGAGCGUUAUCCGGAAUUAUUGGGUGUAAAGGGUGCGUAGGUGGUCUUGCGCGUCUGUUGUUAAAUCUCACCGCUCAACGGUGAAACCGCAAUGGAUACGGCAAGACUAGAGGACGCGAGAGGUCUGUGGAACUCACGGUGUAGGGGUGAAAUCCGUUGAUAUCGUGGGGAACACCAAAGGCGAAGGCAGCCGACUGGCGCGUUUCUGACACUGAGGCACGAGAGCGUUGGGAGCAAAAAGG